UUACUAUUUAAUAAAUUAUCUAAUCACAAACCAGGCGUGAUCGUUGACACUAUAACUUUUUAGUUUUUAAUUUUUUGUUUAAGUUUGUUUUAUAACAAUAAUAUUUUACCUACCUUUUAAAAAAAUAAAAUAUUUUAAAAGAUGCAAAAUGACAUUUGUAUUACUUUAUAUAUAUCUAAGUUGAAUGUUGAAAUAGUAUAUAUCAUGGUCUAAUAUAAAAAGACAAUAAAAAAUAUAAAUUAUAAGCCAUUAAACUAAAAAUAAAAGGCCUUAAUUUACAUAUUAAAAAAAAUAAAGAAUAAAUUUUAUCUAAUAGAAAAAUGUAUUUUUAUAAUUUUAAUAAUUAUUUACCCUUCUUUUACCUCUUUCCAAACAUAAAGAAUAUACAUUAACUCUCCUUAUAUUUUCAUUAAUUCACCAAACAUGAUUACAAACGUAAGAAUAUUUUUUUAUUGUAACACUUCUUACCCUUCUCUCUCCUUAACCUCCCCUACCUUACGUUCUCCUUAAUUACCCUUCCCUCACCCCUUCCAAACAUAGGGUAAAUACCAGGCGAGGGUCGUCUCAGUCCCUCAUUAAUCAAUCUCUUUUUACUAGAAAUAAACUGCCAUCAAAAUUUAAUUACAUUUGUUAAUAGGAUUUGAUGUUUAUCCACAGGCCUAGUAACAUCAGAAAAUGCAUGAAGCAAGAAUUUGAUAUUGUUAAACUAUUCAGAUGCAAAUGGAAGACAUUUGUUUGAAGUUUCGAGUUCCAGGUGUAUCUUUAAAAACAGAAGUUCCAGGUGUAACUCACAAAACGCCAAGUGACUAAGCAGAGACAUGUUAAUCAAGCCUCCAAGCUGAAAACGUAAUCAAAUCAUUUCAAUACGUUACAUUGGAGACUCCCACUCCACAACACAAUGAAGAAGCCUAAAAUUAUCAUUGCCUGGAAACACCAGACUCUGUUCUCAAGAAAACCGUACCAAAAUUGCUCCCAAAAAAAUUGAAAAAAAUCAGUAAGUUGAACACUAAUGCAAAAUAAAUAGUAAAAACAUACCUAAAAAAUUGCCAAGGAGACUCCAGUCCGGCAGGUACCUCCAGGAGGCCAUCUUUGGCGUAAAUGCAUCUGAAAACAGGCCCUGCUGAUGGUUUUCUAUCAGUUGCAGGCCUUGAUUCUUCAACCUUGACUAUGUAAUCCAUAGACAUUGCGAUUUCAAGAACUGGGUCUCAAAAAAUUUCACAAGAAGUAUUGAUUUUUGUGAUAAGAUUUGUUCUUGAAUUUAACGACAGUACGUGUUCAUAAGAAAGAGAGAGAGAGAGAGAGAAAGAAAGAGAGGGAGCAGAAAGAAACGAGAAGAUAUGGAACACAAAGUACUUUUGAUUGCAAGAAAGACUAGCCAAAAAAGGAAGAAAGCAUUAAAGAAUGAUUGUCGAAAAAGGUUUGGAAAUCUUCCAUGCCUCUACACAUGAAAUUCACAUGGCACCAUCUCCUAUCCCUAUGUCAUGAUGAAACUCUCAGCUCUGGAAAUGGGUUGGCAACAACAAAAGCAG
RNAcentral lists this unclassified non-coding RNA (1529 nucleotides) under Hevea brasiliensis (rubber tree). The record is from RNAcentral. Lineage: Eukaryota; Viridiplantae; Streptophyta; Magnoliopsida; Malpighiales; Euphorbiaceae.